Molecule: non-coding RNA, 20 nt
Filed under: Xenopus tropicalis (tropical clawed frog)
Lineage: Eukaryota; Metazoa; Chordata; Amphibia; Anura; Pipidae
Also listed under: 2 other names
Source: RNAcentral
GAACAUGGGUCAGUCGGUCC